CUUCACCACCGUUCCACCUCAACUCCUCCUCUAAUCCAUGCCCCAGAGCUCCUCGCUAUGCGCCGCCCUGGAGGGCACGCGCUCGCCAGCCGAUCGUCGUUGCACUCCCAGGCGACCUCGCCGUCCCCUCUGCACCGCCCUCCACCUGAACUAAUGAUUUAGCUGGUUAUAGCUUGUGGAUGUUCUCUGUUGUUUUUUGCACACAAGGUGUUUGUGUGUUUGUCCGAGCCAAUGUUCAUGAGCUUUAUCUUUGCUAUAAAUGACAUGGCUGAGAAAGUCCCUUCAAUGAAAGGAGGAGUAUAGUCUUGGCCAUGGCUGGGAAGGAAGGAGAACAUGUAAAUUGAGGAUUUUUCAGAGAGGUCAGGAUUGCUUGAUUUAUCAGUGGACUGGUGUGCUGGUUAAUUAGGAUCUUUCAGAGAGAUCGGGGUUGCUUGAUUAAUCAGAGAGAAACUGGAUCAGUACUUGGGAGUUGGGACUGGUGUCCUACGGUUGCUUGAUUAAUCAGAGAGAAACUUAUCAUAAUUUAUGAUUUCCUUUUCUUGAUUUGGAGCAAGUGUCUUUGCUGGAGUCAGCGUCCUUGUGGUUGAUCUCAUAUACAUGAGGAUUAUCCGAGUCAGCUCCUUGUGGUUGAUCUCAUAUACAUGAGGAUUAUCCAAUUAUUAAAGCACAUACAUUGGAGUUGAAAUAUAGGUGGGUUGUGUACACGGGGUACAUGUACGUGAUGUAAACAAAACCUAUAUAACUCAGGGAAUUGGUACUACAAGAGAGCUUCAAGCUGACGGCCAGUAGGAAUGGAAGACAUGACUUGAUGGAGAAAUCGGGUGCAUAUGAACAACAUAUUGUCUUCCAAUUUUUUUCAUCAUUCAGUAGGACAAUUGCCUAAUUCUGUAUGAAAAGGUUAUUAGUAUGGAUAUAUAUUUAUUGAAUUUAAUUAGCAUAUAUGAGGUUCUUUGUUCGGCCCCCCUUUUGCUCAUGACUACAUAAUUAUUCGGACUUGCAUUCUAGAUAGAUGCUUUUCUAUGAACCUCAUAAAAAGUGUAAUAUGCCUUAGAUCCUAAUUGACUAUUUAUACAUCGGAUAAUUUCAGCUUGCUGUGUCCCAACAUACCUAUUUGUUUUACAAAAAACAGGUGAAGUCCUAACAAUCUAUACUCCUGCAUUGUAUCUUCAAAUGUAGAUUGCUUCUGUAGGAUUCGAGCAGAUGGUAGUUUACAGACUAAUGAUUUGGUUCCAGUAACAUCACAUGUCAAGGAUACCUCUCUCCACUUAACAAUCAAUUUUCUUAUGAUGAUGUUCAGAGAAGUGCGUUUAAUUUCUGUCGUAGUGGGAUGUUGUGAUUAGUUCAAUUUUGCUUGAUCUAUUUCGAGUUAAUUCCUUUUUGUGAUGUGGUGUUAGGGAACAUACAUUCUGCUCUCUUGUUCUUCAGCUCGGGGUGUCGGAAGCUACCUAUUACUACUAGGGAGUCUUAUUUCGGACGGAAAGAAAAUACAAUAUUGGGUUUUAUCCAUUUGUAUGCCUGCGUUAGCCUUAUGAAGCACAAAGGAUGUCCCAGUGAUCAAUCACGGAUGAUACUUGGUGUAUUCUUACUAGGCUAAUGGGCAAAUAGUCGAAUAACUGAAUCACCUGCAAUCUUUCUUUUAUUGUAACGGCGGUGUUAUAUCUGCAACAACAAUUUGUAAAU
Molecule: long non-coding RNA, 1680 nt
Organism: Triticum aestivum (bread wheat)
Lineage: Eukaryota; Viridiplantae; Streptophyta; Magnoliopsida; Poales; Poaceae
Exons: 5
Source: RefSeq, a predicted model, not a curated record